RNAcentral lists this ribosomal RNA (1106 nucleotides) under Salmonella enterica subsp. enterica serovar Haifa. Its description in RNAcentral is "partial 23S ribosomal RNA". It matches the Rfam family "Bacterial large subunit ribosomal RNA", at positions 685 to 1781 of the family's 2925-position model. The record is from RNAcentral. Lineage: Bacteria; Pseudomonadati; Pseudomonadota; Gammaproteobacteria; Enterobacterales; Enterobacteriaceae.
UAAUUGGGCGUUAAGUUGCAGGGUAUAGACCCGAAACCCGGUGAUCUAGCCAUGGGCAGGUUGAAGGUUGGGUAACACUAACUGGAGGACCGAACCGACUAAUGUUGAAAAAUUAGCGGAUGACCUGUGGCUGGGGGUGAAAGGCCAAUCAAACCGGGAGAUAGCUGGUUCUCCCCGAAAGCUAUUUAGGUAGCGCCUCGUGAAUUCAUCUCCGGGGGUAGAGCACUGUUUCGGCUAGGGGGCCAUCCCGGCUUACCAACCCGAUGCAAACUGCGAAUACCGGAGAAUGUUAUCACGGGAGACACACGGCGGGUGCUAACGUCCGUCGUGAAGAGGGAAACAACCCAGACCGCCAGCUAAGGUCCCAAAGUCAUGGUUAAGUGGGAAACGAUGUGGGAAGGCCCAGACAGCCAGGAUGUUGGCUUAGAAGCAGCCAUCAUUUAAAGAAAGCGUAAUAGCUCACUGGUCGAGUCGGCCUGCGCGGAAGAUGUAACGGGGCUAAACCAUGCACCGAAGCUGCGGCAGCGACGCUGAUGCGUUGUUGGGUAGGGGAGCGUUCUGUAAGCCUGCGAAGGUGGCCUGUGAGGGUUGCUGGAGGUAUCAGAAGUGCGAAUGCUGACAUAAGUAACGAUAAAGCGGGUGAAAAGCCCGCUCGCCGGAAGACCAAGGGUUCCUGUCCAACGUUAAUCGGGGCAGGGUGAGUCGACCCCUAAGGCGAGGCCGAAAGGCGUAGUCGAUGGGAAACGGGUUAAUAUUCCCGUACUUGGUGUUACUGCGAAGGGGGGACGGAGAAGGCUAUGUUGGCCGGGCGACGGUUGUCCCGGUUUAAGCGUGUAGGUGUGUGUUCCAGGUAAAUCCGGUUCACUUUAACACUGAGGCGUGACGACGAGGCACUACGGUGCUGAAGCAACAAAUGCCCUGCUUCCAGGAAAAGCCUCUAAGCAUCAGGUAACAUCAAAUCGUACCCCAAACCGACACAGGUGGUCAGGUAGAGAAUACCAAGGCGCUUGAGAGAACUCGGGUGAAGGAACUAGGCAAAAUGGUGCCGUAACUUCGGGAGAAGGCACGCUGAUAUGUAGGUGAAGUGAUUUACUCAUGGAGCUGAA